This 667-nucleotide long non-coding RNA is filed under the name Chelydra serpentina (North American snapping turtle). RNAcentral's name for it is "lncRNA (ENSCSRG00000000606.1)". The record is from RNAcentral. Lineage: Eukaryota; Metazoa; Chordata; Testudines; Chelydridae.
CUUCCAGGGCCCCCUGGCUGCGGACUCUGUCCCCUGAACUGGCUGCUGCAUGAGGACAAGUGCUACUGGCUUUCCAAAGAGAGCAAAACCUGGAACCAGAGCCGUGACGACUGCUCGGCGAAGAGCUCUCGCAUGCUCGUGAUCCGGGACCAGCGUGAGAUGGCAUUCAUAAAAACCAUCACAGAGGGGAAAUACCCAGUUUGGAUCGGACUGCACCUGACAACCACCAAGGGAAACUGGACGUGGGUGGAUGGUUCCCUGUUAAAUCAAACAGGGGUCUCGCUAUCGGCCCCCGACACUGGACACAGCUGUGGGGUGUGGAAGGAGAAUCAGAUUCGUGGUGAAAUCUGCAGUGGCAGCUUUAAAUGGAUUUGCCAGAGAGAAGCUGUCCUGAUAUAGACGGCAUGAACGGAUCCCCUAUUUGAUUAAGGGACACACAGGACUAAGGUUCGGGCUUUGGGUAAAGCUCUCAAAGGUGGAGGGCCGUCGCCGGGCCUGGGAAAACGCCACCCUCCACUGUGUCAGUGCCGGGACGCUUUAGCAAUACACAAGGGAAAGAGCACCCCCCCAAGGGGCACGUGCAUGCACAGAAUGAACUGGUCUGCAUGCAAACACACGUACGAAUGGAACACACGCAGAGCAGCACUUCGCAGGCCGUGGCUGUAAG